GACGAACGCUGGCGGCGUGCUUAACACAUGCAAGUCGAACGGAAAGGCCCUGCUUUUGUGGGGUGCUCGAGUGGCGAACGGGUGAGUAACACGUGAGUAACCUGCCCUUGACUUUGGGAUAACUUCAGGAAACUGGGGCUAAUACCGGAUAGGAUCUCCUGCUGCAUGGUGGGGGUUGGAAAGUUUCGGCGGUUGGGGAUGGACUCGCGGCUUAUCAGCUUGUUGGUGGGGUAGUGGCUUACCAAGGCUUUGACGGGUAGCCGGCCUGAGAGGGUGAACGGCCACAUUGGGACUGAGAGACGGCCCAGACUCCUACGGGAGGCAGCAGGGGGGAAUAUUGCACAAUGGGCGGAAGCCUGAUGCAGCAACGCCGCGUGCGGGAUGACGGCCUUCGGGUUGUAAACCGCUUUCGCCUGUGACGAAGCGUGAGUGACGGUAAUGGGUAAAGAAGCACCGGCUAACUACGUG
RNAcentral lists this ribosomal RNA (468 nucleotides) under uncultured bacterium. Its description in RNAcentral is "partial 16S ribosomal RNA". It matches the Rfam family "Bacterial small subunit ribosomal RNA", at positions 28 to 507 of the family's 1533-position model. The record is from RNAcentral.